Molecule: ribosomal RNA, 491 nt
Filed under: uncultured bacterium
Lineage: Bacteria
Description: bacterial SSU rRNA
Rfam family: Bacterial small subunit ribosomal RNA
Source: RNAcentral
GGAAGCCUGAUCCAGCCAUCCCGCGUGCAGGAAGACGGCCUUAUGGGUUGUAAACUGCUUUUGUAUAGGAAUAAACCACCCGACGUGUCGGGUGUUGAAGGUACUUUACGAAUAAGCAUCGGCUAACUCCGUGCCAGCAGCCGCGGUAAUACGGAGGAUGCAAGCGUUAUCCGGAUUUAUUGGGUUUAAAGGGUCCGUAGGCGGGCUCGUAAGUCAGGGGUGAAAUCCGGCAGCUUAACUGUCGAACUGCCUUUGAAACUGCGGGUCUUGAGUCAGAAUGAGGCAGCUGGAACGAGUAGUGUAGCGGUGAAAUGCAUAGAUAUUACUCAGAACAUCAAUAGCGAAGGCAGGUUGCCAAUUCUGUACUGACGCUAAUGGACGAAAGCGUGGGGAGCAAACAGGAUUAGAUACCCUGGUAGUCCACGCCGUAAACGAUGGAUACUGUCUAUUGGGGGUAACUUCAGUGGAUAAGCGAAAGUGAUAAGUAUCCC